Molecule: ribosomal RNA, 253 nt
Filed under: uncultured bacterium
Lineage: Bacteria
Description: partial 16S ribosomal RNA
Rfam family: Bacterial small subunit ribosomal RNA
Source: RNAcentral
UACGGGGGGGGCAAGCGUUGUUCGGAAUUACUGGGCGUAAAGGGCUCGUAGGCGGCCAACUAAGUCAGACGUGAAAUCCCUCGGCUUAACCGGGGAACUGCGUCUGAUACUGGAUGGCUUGAGUGCAGGAGAGGAACGCGGAAUUCCAGGUGUAGCGGUGAAAUGCGUAGAUAUCUGGAGGAACACCGGUGGCGAAGGCGGCGUUCUGGACUGCAACUGACACUGAGGAACGAAAGCCAGGGGAGCAAACGGG